UCCCUGGUGGUCUAGUGGCUAAAAUUCUGUGCUCCCAAUGCAGGGGACCUGGGUUCGACCCCUGGUUGGGGAA
Bos taurus (domestic cattle) is the source of this 73-nucleotide non-coding RNA. Lineage: Eukaryota; Metazoa; Chordata; Mammalia; Artiodactyla; Bovidae. The record is from Rfam.